This 951-nucleotide long non-coding RNA is filed under the name Hordeum vulgare. RNAcentral's name for it is "long non-coding RNA (HVUL_LNC006299)". Lineage: Eukaryota; Viridiplantae; Streptophyta; Magnoliopsida; Poales; Poaceae. The record is from RNAcentral.
UGAAUUGUUGUUUGAUUACAUCUCCCCCUUGCGGGCCCAUGCACCCUUGCGGAUUAAAUGUGUCGGGGGAGUGGUUGGGGGCGACAUGCGGGCCCGGAGAUGAACGCCAAGCAGACACGUACGUGUCCGUUCAAUGUUCGUCUGGAUGCAAAGCUGGCAUAAAAAUGCGCCUGAUUUAGGUUAGAACGGACACGAGUCGAACACUUUUUAGGUUUUGUUUUACACAUUGACCGUAAAUCAGCUCCAUUUUUGACUUACACGAACACGGAAGGAUCAAAUAGGUCGCCGGUUGGUGUUGGACUUAUUGCCGUGAUACAUAAAAUAAACGUCUGAGUUUUGGCGUCGAUGAUUUAAUUACUACACUUUUAAGAACGGCCGGUAUCAGCGAAUUUAUAUUCGUCGGACGUGCGUGCAUAGGUUCGGACAAUAUACGUGUACACGUCCGCAUACUCGUGAAGGAACAAGAAAACAACGUGCGUUCAAAAAGACAUAUGGGAUUAUACUCGUGAAGGAACAAGAAAACACGUCCUCGUGGAGGCAUGCACUACAUUUACUGUUGGGACGGCGCAACUCCCAGCCUUGAGCUCGCCGCCUCGGGCCACCUCUCCUCUGCCAUCGGAUCCAUCCGUUGUCCAUCUCUCUACCGUCUCUCUUGUUGGUUCCUUCAUCGCUUGUACCAGCUGUUUUCUUUCUCUCUGCUCCUGAGCUGCACACAUGCUACCUUUUUUAUUCUUCUUUACUUGUGAAGUGUAAAGAUGACUCAUAUAUCUCAUCCUUUUUUGGUUGGUGUCAUGGCUUACUUGAUUCUUGCAACCGGGGAACGUAUAUAAGUUGGUUGGGUUUGAUUUGACGGUGCAAUAUCGGACUAUUAAUUUUUAUUUUGAGAAUUAUAUCGGACUAUUAAUUACAAAAGAAAAUAAAAAAACAAAUAGUUUAUAGGACCAUAGCAUA